Molecule: long non-coding RNA, 950 nt
Organism: Tupaia belangeri chinensis (Chinese tree shrew)
Lineage: Eukaryota; Metazoa; Chordata; Mammalia; Scandentia; Tupaiidae
Exons: 3
Source: RefSeq, a predicted model, not a curated record
AAAAAUAAUUAAAUAUGAGUCUAUUUUCAUACAAAAAUAGUUUGAACUCUAUGUAUCUAUACAUAUAUAACAUAUCAUUUUAAUGUCAUGUUACUCAUUUUGUUAAUUUUGAUUUAAACAAAACAAUCAAAAAAUACCCAAAUAUUAAGUGAAGUCAACAACUCAGAGGAUUCUUCAAAGUGACUAUACCUGUGAAACCACCACCCCAAUCAUGAUAUAAAAUAUUAACAGCUCCCCAGAAGCCUACCUCUUAUCCAUUCACCAUUAUCACCAAAUCAAAAAGAGAGGACCUAUUUAUGUCUAUCCUCAUAGAUUCAUUUUGCAUGUUCUAAAAUUUGAUAUAUGUGAUAUCAUUCCUUCAUGCGAUAUUCUGUCUGUAAAAUUAAUUCUAUUGUUUUGUGUGACAUCAUGCAUCCUUUUUCAUUACUCUGUAGUAGUCUAUCAUGUGAAUAUGACACAAGUUAUCUGUUAACUGGAUUUUAUGAUUAUGCUGUAGUUCUGGACAAUUACAAAUAAAGCUGCAAGGAAAUUUUUUUUGAACUUAGGAGUAGAAUCAUUGUGUCAUGGCAUAUGCACAUAUCCAGCCUCAGUAGAUACUGUCAAAACAUCUUCCAAAACAAUCAUACCAGUUUACAGGCCCUAGAGGGUAUGCCCUAGACAGGUAUAACAUUCCUACUUGUUCCAUAUCUUUGUCAAUACUUGCUGUUGAUCUUCUUUUUUUUUUUAUUUUAGCCAUUCUUUUGGGUGCAUAUAAAAAGGGCUUCAAGCUUUCCAUUUGCUUUUCCCUGCAUAUUUACAAGAAUUUUCCCAUUGAACUGCCGUAGCACUUUAUGGUUAAGGAGUAAGGUUAUGAUAGUCUCAGAAAUAAAUUGGGAAGUGGUCCCACAUUCUCUAUGCUCUGGAGGAAUUUCUGCAAGACUGGCAUUAUUUCACCAAAGAGAGAUGGCAAG